UCAAGGUAUUCCUAAAAUCCUGAAACUAAUCUAAAUCAAAAUUUUUGUAAGUCUAAAAUAACUUUAACCGUUACAAAAUUAUGAUAAAUCUAAUAAACAUUUAAUAGAAAUUGUGUUUCAGUAGAACAAAUAACAUAUUUUCUUUCAGUCGCAGUAUUAUUUAUGCAAAAAAAUUACCAUUGUUUUACAUGUGUUCUAUCUGACAAUGUUGACGUGCUACAUGCUACAUUUUGUGUAUAUUUUGUGUUAAACAAGUCGUUAUGCUGCUUUUCAAAUUUUUCUGAUUUUGUUAUAGAAAAAGUGAUUUUCCUGAGUCUAUUCUAAUCCUUAAGGCUCGUUUAAUCUCCUGAAAAUAGUGAUAUUAAUACACACCCAUCCUGCAAAGACCACCUAAAAGAAGAUACAAUAAUGGUCAGCCCUUAUAUGAUUCUGAUGUUUGGCUAUUAUUCUGGUUUACAAAAUUGGUUUUACAUUAUUCAGUUAAAACUUUUGUACAAUUGGUAGAUGUAUACAGUUCCAGGGCAAUAUUUGUAUCCUUUUGAUGAAUAUUACGAUCAAUGCAGCAGUACUUAUAAGUAUAUCUAAAAUUUUAUUUCUUUCGGGUAAAUAAUUUUUUUCUGGUUUUUAAUUAUUGUUCACCAUUGAAAUUCAUAAUUUUCAAAUUUAAUUAAGUAGAAAAAAAUUACAGUAGGUCUCUGAGUUAUAUUUUAUGGUUCAUUAUUAUUACAGACAAAUUCAGAAUAUCUAUUUUUAAUUUGGGCUAAUUUUUGACUCUUGGGCAUUUCUCAUUGUUUUUGGUAGAAUACCAUCUACUUAGAAUUUUACUUCAUGUUGUUCUUUGUUUACUUUCAUUUGAAAUAGCUUGACUCCUAUAUAAUUUUGAUUGUGGGAUUAAUAUCAUCAUUUUUAAGUCUUAUUAAGUAUUUCAUUGAAUGUAUUUCUAUAGAUUUUAUUUGUUUGGUAAAAUAUACAGCCUAGUUACAAUUUUACUUCAUGUUGUUUUUGGUUUACUUUCAUUUCUCUAUAAUAGCUUGUCUCCCAUAUGUUCUCUAUGUAGGCAUAAUAACAUCAUUCAUCAAUUCCAUUGACUGUAUUUGUAUACAUCUUCUUUUAUUUGUAUUAUUUUUCUUGUGGUGUCAUUUGUCUAACUUUUUGCUUGUGUAAUUUCUUGCACAGAAUUUUAGUUUGAUGAAUUCAUUGUUAUGUAAUUUUUCUUAGAUAAUAUAGCCAUGCAUUGCUCUAGUUUACGGAUUCUGUUGGUUUGGUUUGCCUGUAUUUAAAUAUAAUUCAAACCCACUGUAACACUUAAAAAUCUCAAAAUAAGGACGAAUUUCCAAGCAGUUCCUGACGCAUUUGCCAUUUAUUUAAAAAAAACUGUUUUGUCCACAGAUUAUCACUUCUGGUUUUUCUAGCAUUUUUCCAAUAAAUUUCCCUAAAAAUCUCGCAAUAAGGAUUAACUUCCAAUCGAUCUUUGGCGCAUUCGCCAUUUAUUCGAAAAACCUGACGUCCACUUCUGUUUUUCUAGCAUUUUUUUCUAAUUAAUUUUCCUGAUUAACAUCGACUCCAGAGCAUCAUAGCUAGCCUCCCCUAAGAGGAGGAGACCCGGGUCACCCCCUAACCCUGAUGUUCGGCCAUCGAUGACCAAUGUAGCAUGCAUAGGUACCCAAGGGAGUCACCACCCUCUGGUUUACGAGCUAGGUGUUCUAACGCUAGAGGCUUCGGCCGGAUACGACCUGGCACCCAAGCUACGAGACUUCUUCGUGCACGUAUCCCGUGACCCUCGAAGGCGCAGGGGGCGGGAUAUCGGACACAUUGAAGAUGAUGAGGGGGGUCCGCCUGUAGGGGGUCCCGGUGGAUGUCCGUUCGAUGGGUGACGAGGGUGACCCGAGACGAGGCUGCUUAGCUGGGAUGGGAACUGACUGGCGAGGCUUAAUCGUCGGCCAAGGGUUAAAUCUGAUGAAGGGGGCGAAAUUAUAUGCUCUGGAGGAUUUUUCUUUAUGUGCUUGAGUCAUAUUUUGACUAGAUAUUCAUUAGAGGAGGCUAAGCAACUAAGCAUAAUCUUUGGUCAAUUUUCUAGUUCUUAUUGACCAGCUACGUCUUUAUUUUUUUAAUACCAUUUUUUCCAAUUAUCUUACAUAAUAUAUACGUAUUUAUAUAAUUUUUUUCUGUCAUCUUUCUGAUGCAUAUUUCAUAAUUUUUCUUGUCUGAAUAGAAUUAUAGCUUUUUUGUAUUCGUUUUCAUGCCAUUUUCCCAAUGCAUCAUAUCUCUUUUUCGCCAAUUUGUACAACCAUAUUUUCUUCCUUAUUGGAAUGUUAUUCAUCAGUUCUAUAAUUCUUUCGUUGAUUGUAUUUCUUCUUAUUUGUAUGCACAACUUAACAAGUAUAGCUAGAGACGUGAGAAAUAUAAAAUAACAUGUGAUCGGUGCUAUCCCCAAGUCUCUUCCUAUAUAUUUGUUCAACUGUAAUUGUAUAAUUUUUUGUGUCAUUCUUCUGAGACUUUUCUUAGUUCAUCACUCAUUUUCAUGCAAUCUUUUCUAUUCCACAUACCCAAUUUCUGCAUUUGUCUCUUAUAUUAUAUCCAUUCUGUGAAAUGUAUUAAUUUAUGUAUUUCUAUAUUAUCAAAUACCUACAAUUUAUUGUUUUUCUUCUAUAUUGAUUGUAUUUCUAAAUCUCUUAUUUGCAAUAUUGUUUAUUUUACUUGUUACUUAAAUAGAAUUGUAUAGAUUUAAGUAGCUAAUAUCUUUUAAAAUUGAGUUUUUGAAUGGAAUAUUGUACUGCUUUGGAACAAAGAUUUUUUGGGCUAGCUGCAUUUCAUUUAAUCAACGAACCCGCUUCAAGACAUCAUCAGGCUGAUAAAAUUCAACAUUGAACAGGGGAUUGAGAGAGAAAUUCAUAAUUGAAGAGGAAUUGAAUAAUUUCAGAACCAAGACUUUCCAGAAGGGUAGCCAGAAGAUUUGUUUACCUCAGCAUAGACAGCAUGUCCAUCCCCACGUUAGAUUUUAAUAUCUACACUUUUUUUGUUACUAAUGUUAAUAGAAUAUACCUACGA
This 3048-nucleotide long non-coding RNA is filed under the name Sitophilus oryzae (rice weevil). RNAcentral describes it as "uncharacterized LOC115886133, transcript variant X1". The record is from RNAcentral. Lineage: Eukaryota; Metazoa; Arthropoda; Insecta; Coleoptera; Curculionidae.